RNAcentral lists this long non-coding RNA (365 nucleotides) under Fukomys damarensis (Damara mole-rat). RNAcentral's name for it is "lncRNA (ENSFDAG00000027994.1)". The record is from RNAcentral. Lineage: Eukaryota; Metazoa; Chordata; Mammalia; Rodentia; Bathyergidae.
AUCUUCAUUCUGCUUUUUAUUCUGUUUUUUUUUUUAAUAGGAUUUCUUGUACAAGCAAGGAUAACCUGUGUAGAUUACCAAAAUGGAAACAUCCUGAAGCUGCUUUGAAAUCCCAGUAAAUUAAGUGGACUCAGAUUUGACAGACAGGGAAACCGGUCCAAGGACAAUUUGUGACGAAGUCGUUCCCCUACUUUGCCAUCUGACGACUAUGAAGCAUUUUACUCUGCCUUGCCCUUUCUUCAUAAAGAUUCUGCCUUGGAAAUAGCUGACCAUGUUCUGAAUGCCCCUCAAUCGUGAGAUCAACUGAAGUUUUCUUUCUCUAAGGUGUGGGCACUGAAUAUUGUGUUUCCACACUAAGAAAGGUG